GAGUUUGAUCUUAGCUCAGAUUGAACGCUGGCGGCAGGCCUAACACAUGCAAGUCGAGCGGUAGAGAGAAGCUUGCUUCUCUUGAGAGCGGCGGACGGGUGAGUAAUGCCUAGGAAUCUGCCUGGUAGUGGGGGAUAACGCUCGGAAACGGACGCUAAUACCGCAUACGUCCUACGGGAGAAGGCAGGGGACCUUCGGGCCUUGCGCUAUCAGAUGAGCCUAGGUCGGAUUAGCUAGUUGGUGAGGUAAUGGCUCACCAAGGCGACGAUCCGUAACUGGUCUGAGAGGAUGAUCAGUCACACUGGAACUGAGACACGGUCCAGACUCCUACGGGAGGCAGCAGUGGGGAAUAUUGGACAAUGGGCGAAAGCCUGAUCCAGCCAUGCCGCGUGUGUGAAGAAGGUCUUCGGAUUGUAAAGCACUUUAAGUUGGGAGGAAGGGCAGUAAAUUAAUACUUUGCUGUUUUGACGUUACCGACAGAAUAAGCACCGGCUAACUCUGU
This 502-nucleotide ribosomal RNA is filed under the name uncultured bacterium. RNAcentral describes it as "bacterial SSU rRNA". It matches the Rfam family "Bacterial small subunit ribosomal RNA", at positions 9 to 506 of the family's 1533-position model. The record is from RNAcentral.